CAGAAACGGGGCAUUAGAAUCAUAGGAUCAGAAGGUCAAAAUCUGCUUUUAGGGCCGUACGUGCUUCAGCAUCCCUUUCUCUGCUCGGCCCCAGGCUGUGUCCUGGUGAGAGUGUGGGGCGAUGGGAGCGCCACGAGAGCCGCCCGUGAGGCUUCGGGGCUGUCAGAGCUGAGUUUGAACCCUGAUCCCACCUUGGCCCGCUGCCCGCAGCCCAGCCAGACCUAAUCUGGGGCUGUACACUGCCCACGUUUAAUGAGGUAUUGUAUACAGAUGUGUCUGACUGUGUAUAUGCACAUGUCCCCAGCUGCGGGUGUCUCGCACAGUGUUUGCAUCUGUCUGUUAGCGAGUUUGGGCAUCUGGGGCUCUUCCCCUCACUUGAUUAAAUAUCUGCCCGGCAGCAUGUUUGUGUAUCCGCGGAUCUUAUCGCAUGUGUCUGUGUCUGCACGUGGAGGUGCUCACAGCUGACGGCAUUUGUGUACACAUGGGUCAGGCCGGGCUGUCUAUGACACUUCUUCCACCGUGGGGACAAGUGGAGCGAUGGGGCAGCUGGGGGCAGCCCAGGUCCCCUGCCUGCAGGUGGGAGGGGGACCCCAGCCUCCUGCCUACGCGCUGCCCACCCUGCCAUUGCCCAGAGCCAGCUGGGGGUGUACCCUCUGGCUUGCACCCUCAGUGCUGGGAUGCCAAGCGUGCAUACUGGGAAACUCAACCAGUGGUGGAAGCAUCCCUGCUGGAGCAAGGCAAUCCCUUCUCUGCUCCCUGGCUGUGGGGGUGUUUGGCUGCAGAUAUUUACUGAGCAAUUUGCAUUCAAUUACAGCAGCCGGAAGGAUUGGGAGGAUUUUCCUUCUGGUUUUCUCUCAACCAAAGCCAACUUGUCCGAAGUAUGACCUAGGAAGCAUCUCAUUAGAGGGAAGCGACGUCUCCCAGACACAGUGCUCACAGAAGAUGCUCCCCAGGGUUGAGGGGUGCCUGGACCAUGUGUGGGGGGCCGUGACGAAUGGCUCAGAAAAGAGGGUGCUGUGA
RNAcentral lists this long non-coding RNA (1020 nucleotides) under Numida meleagris (helmeted guineafowl). RNAcentral's name for it is "lncRNA (ENSNMEG00000021717.1)". Lineage: Eukaryota; Metazoa; Chordata; Aves; Galliformes; Numididae. The record is from RNAcentral.